GAAUAAGUUACUCAAAAUUAUAAAAAAAAAAAUUAGAUUCUGAAACUAAAAAUGUAGAAACAUAAGAAGAACUACUACUUGAAAUAGAAGAAAGUCUCUGGAGAAGAACUUUCUUUUAUUAAAAUACUUGAAAUGUCGUAUUAAUCGACGGUUUUAAAUAAUAUAGUACAUUCUAUUACUUAAUGAUAAGUCGCGCAACUACUGAUCAAUUUAAGUACAUGAAAAAUCUAUAUUACAACGAUAUUAGGUAUAUGGAUAUAUGGUAUAAACGAGUGAUUGGAAUAGGAUCACUCAAGAACUUUUAAUGAUAUGAUAAUUGCUCCAUGUUAAAUAGCAUUGGACGCUAUUGGAGCUAAUGGAUUAUAAAAUAUAAUCUUAUUUUUAUUACCCUGAUGUGACAUUGUUUGGAUAACUGAUUCUCAAAGUCUUUGAAUUAUAUGUCGAUAUUUGAUUUUUAAAAAAGGCUACUUGACUACUUUAACAUCAAUCGGUAUCUCCCUCUAAAUUAUACGUACUUGGUGAAAACUUCACUUUGGACUCUUACUACAAUUUCUGCGGGUGAUGGAAUAAUAGAUGACCGAAAUCGUGCAGAAGUAAAAUUGCAGUUUAUGCUGAAGAAACUUUGGAAAUGGACUACGGAGUACGUGAAACCCUCUUCAACUUAUGUCUCCUGAUGAAAGAUUCCUGCUUGUAGAAACACAAUUAUUAACUUAAAGAUGUUCGUUAUGAACUAGAAGCGGAGUACUUUCACUGCUUGUAGAUGGACUAUAGAAGCAGUAGAAUUUCAAUUUCCACAACCAUUCCAAGUGACCUGAUGCUAAACUCUGUACAAUUCCAAAGUUGAAGACCCAAGUAAAAUUCUCUAUAAUUAAACCUUGAAGUUUGUUUUAUGAAAAUGGACGAACCUUUACCAUUCAAAUUUAUUGUGUUUGUUUUAAAACAUUGAUUUUAGAACAUAUUGAUUUCUCAAGCUGAACAUUAUGUUUGCAAGAAUACUAAGUAUUGCUUGUCUAAAUUUUUGUGGAUAUAUUUUGUGGAAAUAAAAUUUGAAGUAAAUGUAA
Teleopsis dalmanni is the source of this 1061-nucleotide long non-coding RNA. RefSeq lists it as uncharacterized. NCBI's taxonomy places the organism in Eukaryota, Metazoa, Arthropoda, Insecta, Diptera, Diopsidae. The transcript has 5 exons. The record is from RefSeq and is a predicted model, not a curated record.